Molecule: ribosomal RNA, 468 nt
Filed under: uncultured bacterium
Lineage: Bacteria
Description: partial 16S ribosomal RNA
Rfam family: Bacterial small subunit ribosomal RNA
Source: RNAcentral
GACGAACGCUGGCGGCGUGCUUAACACAUGCAAGUCGAACGGAAAGGCCCUGCUUUUGUGGGGUGCUCGAGUGGCGAACGGGUGAGUAACACGUGAGUAACCUGCCCUUGACUUUGGGAUAACUUCAGGAAACUGGGGCUAAUGCCGGAUAGGAGCUCCUGCUGCAUGGUGGGGGUUGGAAAGUUUCGGCGGUUGGGGAUGGACUCGCGGCUUAUCAGCUUGUUGGUGGGGUAGUGGCUUACCAAGGCUUUGACGGGUAGCCGGCCUGAGAGGGUGACCGGCCACAUUGGGACUGAGAUACGGCCCAGACUCCUACGGGAGGCAGCAGUGGGGAAUAUUGCACAAUGGGCGGAAGCCUGAUGCAGCAACGCCGCGUGCGGGAUGACGGCCUUCGGGUUGUAAACCGCUUUCGCCUGUGACGAAGCGUGAGUGACGGUAAUGGGCAAAGAAGCACCGGCUAACUACGUG